AGAGCUUAGCUAAUUGGUGAGCA
This 23-nucleotide microRNA is filed under the name Gadus morhua (Atlantic cod). Its description in RNAcentral is "gmo-miR-27a-5p". Its record names the gene gmo-miR-27a-5p. The record is from miRBase by way of RNAcentral. Lineage: Eukaryota; Metazoa; Chordata; Actinopteri; Gadiformes; Gadidae. RNAcentral also lists the same sequence under 1 other name.